GGGAGUGACAGGCUUCGACAUUGAAUGCUCCUUGAAAAGAUGCAAGCAAAGCUGAACUAACUUUUAAACUGGUUCAAACUUGAAAUGCCAACAGAAAUGUUGCACUAGCCUACGCAUAAUUUUAUCCGUAGACCAUCGCUCUAGCGACCUCUUCUAGCUGGAUUAGCGGUGUCAUAUUGAAGAGUAAGGAAUAAAGAGUGCAGAUCUAACGCUUUAUUCACGAAAAUUAAUAGAUCAGCGCUGUUUGGUGCACUAAACCAAAACAAGCUUGUAGAUUCUUUUUAAAGACUUCUUUGGACGGGGUUUCAAUACCCCCACUUCCACAA
Molecule: transfer-messenger RNA, 326 nt
Filed under: bacterium
Lineage: Bacteria
Rfam family: transfer-messenger RNA
About the family: Bacterial tmRNA, also known as 10Sa RNA or SsrA, is named for its dual tRNA and mRNA-like properties. Its role is to liberate the mRNA from a stalled ribosome. To accomplish this part of the tmRNA is used as a reading frame that ends in a translation stop signal.
Source: RNAcentral